This 468-nucleotide ribosomal RNA is filed under the name uncultured bacterium. Its description in RNAcentral is "partial 16S ribosomal RNA". It matches the Rfam family "Bacterial small subunit ribosomal RNA", at positions 28 to 507 of the family's 1533-position model. The record is from RNAcentral.
GACGAACGCUGGCGGCGUGCUUAACACAUGCAAGUCGAAUGGAAAGGCCCUGCUUUUGUGGGGUGCUCGAGUGGCGAACGGGUGAGUAACACGUGAGUAACCUGCCCUUGACUUUGGGAUAACUUCAGGAAACUGGGGCUAAUACCGGAUAGGAGCUCCUGCUGCAUGGUGGGGGUUGGAAAGUUUCGGCGGUUGGGGAUGGACUCGCGGCUUAUCAGCUUGUUGGUGGGGUAGUGGCUUACCAAGGCUUUGACGGGUAGCCGGCCUGAGAGGGUGACCGGCCACAUUGGGACUGAGAUACGGCCCAGACUCCUACGGGAGGCAGCAGUGGGGAAUAUUGCACAAUGGGCGGAAGCCUGAUGCAGCAACGCCGCGUGCGGGAUGACGGCCUUCGGGUUGUAAACCGCUUUCGCCUGUGACGAAGCGUGAGUGACGGUAAUGGGUAAAGAAGCACCGGCUAACUACGUG